This is a long non-coding RNA of Epinephelus fuscoguttatus (brown-marbled grouper), 1071 nucleotides long. RefSeq lists it as uncharacterized. The transcript has 4 exons. NCBI's taxonomy places the organism in Eukaryota, Metazoa, Chordata, Actinopteri, Perciformes, Serranidae. The record is from RefSeq and is a predicted model, not a curated record.
AUUACACAAUAUUAUAAAAUACAUUGUAGGCGCUGGGCUUCUGGAAUUUUUUAAAUUCAUUACAUUUUCACUUCAGCUGAAGGAUCAAAUGAACAAUUACAAAGGUGGAAUCAGCAUUAAGAGGCAGAGUAUCAUUCACCUCCACAGUCACCAGUUAUUAUUCUAACUGGCAUGUUCUUGGCGUGUGGGAGAACCAGAGAAUUUGGAGAAACCCAUGUUGACACAGGGAGAAAAUGCAAAAAUGACCCAGCCGGCCGGCAGGUGUGACUGUCAUUAUCUCACCAGUGCUUCCGUCUGUAUCAUCAGCUCACCAGUUUUUUCCCGUUUGCCAGUUCAUGAGAUGUAGAUGCUGUGUACUGGUGUUCCAGCCAUCUGUACCUGUUCCAGUUUUCCUGCCUGGUGUCUGCUCCCUGAGCUCUGGCCUGCUGCCUGUUAACGACCCGCCUGCUUUGCUCGUCUGGAUGUCUUUGCCUGUUGGACUGCCUCCUCCUGCCUGACUACCAGCUCCAUAGUUUGAACACUGAUUUGGAAUGGGAAACAACUUCUGAGCCCAUAAAGGAUGGGAGGUUUCCUGGAUGAGGUGUAAAGGUCAGCUGAGAAAAGAAUAAUCUUAACAAUGUGUUGUAAGACCAUGUCAGCCAUGAGACUCAGAUGUGACGCUGGCCUUCAGGAGGAUCUGUCUAUGACCAAAGUGUAACUGCCAGAGCAUUGAACUGAGUCUGUUUUGACCAGUGAAGCUACUGAAAUGCAACAAAUGAAGCUACUGGAAGCUGCUGUUGCUGCUGAGGAAGAUCCAAAAAGGAAUAAAUAAUGAAAAUGAAUGUGCUGCCUCAUUAUUUUCUUUAAGACUGGUACAAUAGUUGAAUUUCUUUUCUCCCUUGUGAAUAAAUCCAAGAAUAAGGACAAAGGUACAGAAAUACUGAACAAAGUGAACCAAGCUGAGGAUUCGGCCGGUGGAUGUGCAACUCCUGGUGCCUAACAAGCAUCUUGUUAACCAAUCCUGUCAGCCUGUCUUGCUCUCUUCUGUACCUUCCUCAUGACAUGAGGUCUUAUUCGAAAUAAAAAUGAAUG